This 73-nucleotide transfer RNA is filed under the name Candidatus Endomicrobiellum glyptotermitis. RNAcentral describes it as "tRNA-Arg". It matches the Rfam family "tRNA". From Rfam's summary of the family: Transfer RNA (tRNA) molecules are approximately 80 nucleotides in length. Their secondary structure includes four short double-helical elements and three loops (D, anti-codon, and T loops). The record is from RNAcentral. Lineage: Bacteria; Pseudomonadati; Elusimicrobiota; Endomicrobiia; Endomicrobiales; Endomicrobiaceae.
GCGCCUAUAGCUUAAUUGGAUAGAGCACUGGUUCCCGAGGCCUGUAAUUCCGGUUCAAGUCCGGAUAGGCGCA